This 492-nucleotide ribosomal RNA is filed under the name uncultured bacterium. Its description in RNAcentral is "partial 16S ribosomal RNA". It matches the Rfam family "Bacterial small subunit ribosomal RNA", at positions 29 to 506 of the family's 1533-position model. The record is from RNAcentral.
AGUGAACGCUGGCGGUAGGCCUAACACAUGCAAGUCGAACGGCAGCACAGUAAGAGCUUGCUCUUACGGGUGGCGAGUGGCGGACGGGUGAGGAAUACAUCGGAAUCUACUUUUUCGUGGGGGAUAACGUAGGGAAACUUACGCUAAUACCGCAUACGACCUACGGGUGAAAGCAGGGGAUCUUCGGACCUUGCGCGAUUGAAUGAGCCGAUGUCGGAUUAGCUAGUUGGCGGGGUAAAGGCCCACCAAGGCGACGAUCCGUAGCUGGUCUGAGAGGAUGAACAGGCAAACCGGGAACGGAGACACGGCCAAAACCCCCAGGGGGGGGCGCGGGGGGAAAUUUUGGAAAAGGGGGGAAACCCUGACCCAGCCAUCCCGGGGGGGGAAAAAAGGCCUUCGGUUUGAAAAGCCCUUUUGUUGGGAAAAAAAAGCGGCGGGUUAAUACCCCGCUGUUCUGACGGUACCAAAAAAAAAAGCACCGGCUAACUUCGU